UUCCUUUCUCGUGUCUGCUCCCAAACGAUUUUUCUUCCAUUCCAAGGCUGGUCCCCUCGGUCUUUCUCGUCGGAUUCAUUUCCCCAUUCCCCUUCCAUGUCCCCCAACUAGCUUGCCUGGCUCCUACCCCUCUUCGGCUCCCUAGUCCUCCUCUUCUCCGGCGACCCUCCCUGUAGAUCUGGUGAAGGUAGACGCAACUUGGUUCAGGUCUGCAGAUCCGUGUCCGAUUCCAUUUGUUGUAGCUUUGUUGCUGCUCGAUCUGCCUGCAUCUUCUUGCUCGUUUGCUUAAUAGUCGUAACAUCUUGCUUCUUCGAUUACGAUUAUUCUUUCUGGUCCAUUUUAGCAGAAAAAAUGGAUGGCGUUGCUGAAUCUUUUUCUACUUCUGUAGCGAUGAGACUACCUGCGGGACAUUGGCCCUUUAUGGCGAUUCAGUUGUGAGAAAAAGAUGAUAUGGUUGCGGAAUCAUGGUCUAGUUCAGCCAUGCAUCAAUAUGGUUGCCUUUCAGCCUUUGUUUCAGAUUUUCAGAUCCUGAACAUGGAAGCACGCAGUUAGGACCAGCCCAUUGGCCAUUGUUGCUCUCAGCCGCCAACUAAAUACUGUUGUGUUAUCCAUGUUGAA
Long non-coding RNA from Panicum virgatum (switchgrass), 618 nucleotides. RefSeq lists it as uncharacterized. The record is from RefSeq and is a predicted model, not a curated record. NCBI's taxonomy places the organism in Eukaryota, Viridiplantae, Streptophyta, Magnoliopsida, Poales, Poaceae. The transcript is spliced from 2 exons.